Molecule: long non-coding RNA, 1006 nt
Organism: Polypterus senegalus (gray bichir)
Lineage: Eukaryota; Metazoa; Chordata; Cladistia; Polypteriformes; Polypteridae
Exons: 4
Source: RefSeq, a predicted model, not a curated record
UAAGCACUCCUGUGUACGUCAGUAAGUCUGCCCAGUGACUGACUGGCCUCCCUUUCAGAACUGGCUUGUGUUGCCUUUUUAUUUUUUAGAGCUUUUAUGGCAUCCACCUACUCACAGCCCUCUACUGGAACAGUGAAUUCAUGACGUUUUGGGGGAAAACACUAAAAGGCUUGGGCCACUAAUUACCUGGUUUUCAGCUUGAGAGAUGGAAGGUUCACAGGACUCCCAAGAAGGAAAUGUCAGCGCCCUGCUACCAACUGGAAAAAGAUACAUUUUUUAUUCACUGGAACAAACUCUUAACUGUAUGGUGCUGAACCAGGAGUAACUCCAGAGUUGGGAAGAGAAGACACUUGAUUGAGAAGUUUAGUUUCAGAGCCACACUUAUGCAUAGAGGACAUGGUAUGGAUAAUAUCCGCAACGCCCAGGCCAUUUCUCUGUGUAAGAAAGUCACUUGCUUUGUUUUGUUAGUUAUUAUAUGUUUUGUUAUUUGCACAAAUAUCGAGAUAUAUAUCGUAUAUCGUCAUUCAGUUAAAAAAUACCGAGAUAUGACGUUUGGUCCACAUCACAGAAGACCUAACCUGGUCCAAACACACCAGCACCUUGGUAAAGAAGGUACAACAACAUCUUUACAUCCACAGACGUCUCGGGGACCUCAGGCUGCUCUCCCAGGUACUGAAGAACUUCUACACAUCCACUUUUUGAAACUAUUCUCUCAGGAAAUAGUAGUGACUGGUUUUGGAACAGAAUGCAACAGGACAGGUGACUGGUGCGGUCAGCUGGACGCAUUACUGGGUGUGCACUCCUUAACUUCAAGGACAUCUAGACCAAACAGUGUUGGACCAGGACAGAGCAAAUUGUCAAUGAUUCCAGCCAUCCCAACAGCAGCCUCUUUUCUGUACCGUGGCCAGACAAAUGAUAUUGCUGCCUGAAGUCCAGCUCGGAGAGACUGAAAAGGAGCUUUUGUCCAAAAUCCAUAUGCAUUUUGAAUAAGGAAAAUGUCUAGAAC